UUGUUUUGUGGGAAGUUACAAGAUAAGGCCUGCCCCCUGCAAGUUAAAGGGCCGCGGUAUUUUGACCGUGCAAAGGUAGCAUAAUCAUUAGUUUUUUAAUUGAAGACUGGGAUGAAUGGUUAAACGAGAGAUUAGCUGUCUCUGAGGAAAGAGAGAAUUUAAUUUUAUAGUGAAAAAGCUAUAAUAAAUAAGAGGGACGAGAAGACCCUAUAGAGCUUAAUAAAUUUUGGGUUAUAAAAUUAGUAAAUUUUUAAGUAAUUGGAAAAUUAAUUGGAUUGGGGUGGUGAAAAAAAGAUCCUAGUAGGAAUAAAGAAUAAGUUACCUUAGGGAUAACAGCGUAAUCUUUUUGGAGAGUUCAAAUCGAUGGAAGGGGUUGCGACCUCGAUGUUGGAUUAGAAGAAGCCUUUGGGGUAGUACUUAAAGUAAGAGGUCUGUUCGACCUGUAAAUUUCUA
RNAcentral lists this ribosomal RNA (453 nucleotides) under Haplohyphes baritu. RNAcentral describes it as "partial 16S ribosomal RNA". It matches the Rfam family "Bacterial large subunit ribosomal RNA", at positions 1816 to 2598 of the family's 2925-position model. Lineage: Eukaryota; Metazoa; Arthropoda; Insecta; Ephemeroptera; Leptohyphidae. The record is from RNAcentral.